This 2387-nucleotide unclassified non-coding RNA is filed under the name Hevea brasiliensis (rubber tree). Lineage: Eukaryota; Viridiplantae; Streptophyta; Magnoliopsida; Malpighiales; Euphorbiaceae. The record is from RNAcentral.
GCCUUCCUUCUUAAUUUUUACGGCCAUUCGAAGUGAGAAGCUGAGAGUGAAUGUUCUGUGAAACUUGCAGUAGCAGGGGAUUUUCUGUAGCCAGCAGAUCAUCUAAAUCAACCUCACCUUCGCCAGAGUCGAUUUUUGCAGAGGUAUCAAUAUAUAAUUCAGCUAACUUUAUGCAUCUCUCUCUCCCUCCUUCUUCUAAGGGUUUGAAGAUUUAUUAGCUGAAAACAUCAGCAAUAAUUACUUUUAUGAAAAAGACAAAGACAUAUCUCUCAGAAUUAUCCACCUCCUGACCUUCUCUUUAACUUUCUUCUCUCUUGCUCUCUCCCUAUAUCCUGCAAUGCCUUUCCUUUCCUGGCCAUAACUAUAAGAAGACAAAUGGUGGGUGCACCGAAGAAACAUUUCCUCCCUCUAAUCUUCCUUCUAUCCCUAUUUGUGCUCUUCUUUUUUUCCCAUUAUCAUUCUCCUCUUCCCAUCACCCAUUUAAGCUCUAAUCCUAACCCUAAUUUUAGUCCAACAAAUAAUGAUAACAAACCACUCAGUCCCCAAAACACCCCCACAUUCACUUUCCUCAUCAAAGUCCUUGCAUUCAACCGCCUGGACUCGCUCUCCCGCUGCCUUCGUUCCCUUGCCAAUGCUAAGUAUGAUGGUGACACUGUCCAUCUCCAUGUAUACAUUGAUCAUUUUCCAUUUGCCAAUGAAUCAUUUAAUGUCUUGGAUCAACAACUGGAGAACUCGCAUAAGAUUUUGGAGUUUGUUGAUGGAUUCCAUUGGAUUUUUGGAAACAAGGUAGUGCAUUACCGGAAUGGGAACAUGGGGCUGCAGGCACAGUGGCUGGAGGCAUGGUGGCCAAGUUCUGAUGACGAGUUUGCAUUUGUUGUGGAGGAUGAUCUUGAGGUUUCUCCACUGUUUUAUAAGUUUGUUAAGGCUGUGAUUCUUAAUUAUUACUACAAUGGUAACAGCUCUAGUCCUUCAAUCUAUGGCGUCUCGCUUCAGCGUCCAAGGUUUGUCCCAGGUAAACACGGAAACAAAAUACAAUUAGGUCCUGGAACACGGAUUUUCUUGUACCAGUUGGUUGGCACUUGGGGUCAGAUUCUCUUUCCAAAACCUUGGAAAGAGUUCAGACUGUGGUAUGACCAGCAUAAGGCCAAAGGCAUGAAGCCAUUUCUCAAUGGAAUGGUAACAACUGGAUGGUAUAGAAGAAUGGGAGAAAGGAUCUGGACUCCUUGGUUCAUUAAAUUUAUUCAUUAUAGUGGCUAUUUUAAUAUCUACACCAAUUUUGGCCAUGAGAGAGCACUCAGCGUCUCUCACAGAGAUGCUGGUGUUAAUUAUGGGAAAACAGCUGGACCAGACUCCCAAUUAGUGGAUGAAAGAUCUUUUGACUACAAUUUUUUGGAAAUGGAACCUUUGAGUAAUUUGAAAUGGUAUGAUUUCUGUUUUAGGGAAGUACUUCCUGGAAGAGUCGUAAGGAGUCUGGGUGAUCUUGAGUCUGUUCUUUGGUCUCUGCAGAAACAGCAGACUGUUUUGCUUGUGAACAUAUUUGGGACAUCAGAAACAAUCACGAGGAAUCUGUUAUGCCACUUUGAGAAUCUAAACAUUCAGAACUAUGUAAUUAUGGGUCCUCAUUCUGAUUUUCUUUAUGAUCUUGCUAGAAGGGGACAUCCUGUUAUUGAUUCCAGCCAGCUUCUUGAUGAUAUGAGAGCACAGAAAGUAAUCAGAUUUCAAGAUUCCAGCACAAAACUGGUUGACGUAUUGGUGAAAGCUUAUGUUACAAAGAAGUGUUUGGAAUACAAGUAUGAUUCCUGGAUAGUAGACACAAACAUACUUUUUGUCAAUAAUGAUUUAUUUCAUGAGUUCAUCAAAACAUGUAAUUAUGACUUUUGUGCUGGGAAAAGCUUGGAGAUUUUCUUUGUCAGGAGCUCAUCUUCUGCUAAAAAAAUUUGGACUGAUGGUUUCUUGAACAAGGUUGCUGCUGCAGUUGGUCAGGCUUCAUUGCCCAGAGAGAGUAGAAACUUUGUUCAAUUUGUGGAAAAGUUGUUGCAAGAGAAUGGUGCAAGAAUUAACCGGGUUGAUGAGACAAGCUUUGGCAUGAAGAUUAGUGCCAAUAGCGUUAAUCAAUCCUCUUUGGAGGCUGCGAAGAUGGUUUAUUGGUCUAUGGAUAUGGGUCUGAAUUUAGUUCAAAAGCCGCUUGAAGGAUUGGGUAUGUGGGCUCUUGAUGGUGACUCUUCCUGCAAGGCUGUUGUUUGCCACCAAUCAUAGCCUUUGAUGGUGGACUUUUUUUUGUUUUUUUUUUUGUAAGCUUUACCCAUUUUGAUCUACAAUUGUUUCUGUAUCAUCUGUUGAAGCAUUAGUAUGUUAUUUUAGUUUUUCAUGGUAAAUUUUUUAGCGAU